This 1745-nucleotide long non-coding RNA is filed under the name Mytilus galloprovincialis (Mediterranean mussel). Lineage: Eukaryota; Metazoa; Mollusca; Bivalvia; Mytilida; Mytilidae. The record is from RNAcentral.
AUAAAGCCAUAGGAACUGACAUUUUCAACUGAAUUUUAAUAUUUUCAUAUCAAAAUAGAUCUUUAUUAGUUGAAAGACCUUCAAUUGUUCUUUGAACAAUUGGUUUAUUAUUAUUAUUAUUUUUUUUUUUCUUCCGCCAACUUUUUGUUCCUUCACUGUUUUUUUGUUUCGCAAGAUGUCGCUAAGAUAUAUGGUAUAUGAUAUCGAACAGUUAAUACGCUUCUGAAACUGACACCGCGUAACAAAAAUCUUUACCUCGUAAGAGUUAUCUCCCCGAACACUGUUUUUCUUGUUAUCUCUAAGGCUUCGCAACCGUAUAAGAAACCGACAAAUUUAUUUUUCCAAAUUGCUCGUUAUAUCCUCAGGAUGUUCUGCUUAUUUUGACCGAAGCUAUCCGGAGACUCCAUAUGAGCGUUAUCCCCCCUUUUGUAUAUGAUAUAGGUGAUAUGCAUUUCUAACUGGUAAACCAUAAGUGAUAGAGACCCAGGGUCUUUUGAUUUAAGAUCCUUGGUCCAAAAAAAGGGAAAUUAGGUCAAGGUCAAAGGUCAAGGUCAAAUUCUAAAUUUUGAUUUUGGCUUAUUUUCACUUAUUUUCAUUAACUUUAUAAGAUUUCGACAAAUUAUUUUUACUAAAUUGUUGGUUGCGAGAUGUCGUAACUUAUAAAUUUUGAUUGGAAGGGUGCGUAGACAAUAAAUGGGAGUUUUUGCCCCUCUUAUAUUUAGAAUUAUGUGUAAAGUGAUAUUACUCAUGAACCAUACAUAAUACUGACCUAGGGUCUUUUGAUUUGGGAUCCUUAGUUUAUGACCUUGAAUUUGAGGCCAAGGUCAUAGGUAAAUUGUACGUUUUAGAUUUUGACCUUUGCUCGAAAUUCAUAUUUUUAUAUCAUAAAGACAUAGCAACUGACAUUUUCAACUGAAUCUUAAUAUUUUCAUUUCAAAAUAGAUCCUUAUUGGUUGAAAGACCUUCAAUUGUUCUUUGAACAAUUGGUUUUUAAUUAUUAUUAUUAUUAUUAUUUUUUUCUUCCGCCAACUUUUUUUUCCUUCACUGUUUUUUUGUUUCGCAAGAUGUCGCUAAGAUAUAUGGUAUAUGAUAUCGAACAGUUAAUACGCUUCUGAAACUGACACCGCGUAACAAAAAACUUUACCUUGUAAGAGUUAUCUCCCCGAACACUGUUUUUCUUGUUAUCUCUAAGGCUUCGCAACCGUAAAAGAAACCGACAAAUUUAUUUUUCCAAAUUGCUCGUUAUAUCCUCAGGAUGUUCUGUUUCAUUUGGACCGAAACUAUCCGGAGACUCCAUAUGAGAGUUAUCCCCCCUUUUAUAUAUGAUAUAAGUGAUUUGCAUUUCUAACUGGUAAACCAUAAGUGAUAGAGACCUAGGGUCUUUUGAUUUAAGAUCCUUGGUCCAAAAAAAUGAAAAGUAGGUCAAGGUCAAAGGUCAAGGUCAAAUUCUAAAUUUUGAUUUUGGCUUAUUUUCACUUAUUUUCAUUAACCUUAUAAGAUAUCGACAAAUUAUUUUUACUGAAUUGUUAGUUGCGACAUGUUGUAACUUAUGAAUUUUGGUUGCAAGGGUGCGUAGACAACAAAUGGGAGUUUCCGCCCCUCUUAUAUUUAGAAUUAUGCGUAAAGUGAUAUUACUCAUGAACCAUACAUAUUAAGGAACUAGUGUCUUUUGAUUCGAGAUGUUUUGUCUAUGACCUUGAAAUUAAGGUCAAGGUCAAAGGUUAAUUUGACGUUCUAGAUUUUGA